This 497-nucleotide ribosomal RNA is filed under the name uncultured bacterium. RNAcentral's name for it is "partial 16S ribosomal RNA". It matches the Rfam family "Bacterial small subunit ribosomal RNA", at positions 28 to 507 of the family's 1533-position model. The record is from RNAcentral.
GAUGAACGCUGGCGGCGUGCCUAAUACAUGCGAGUAGAACGCUGAAGCUUGGUGCUUGCACCGAGCGGAUGAGUUGCGAACGGGUGAGUAACGCGUAGGUAACCUGCCUCUUAGCGGGGGAUAACUAUUGGAAACGAUAGCUAAUACCGCAUAAAAGUCGAUAUCGCAUGAUAUUGAUUUGAAAGGUGCAAAUGCAUCACUAAGAGAUGGACCUGCGUUGUAUUAGCUAGUUGGUGAGGUAACGGCUCACCAAGGCGACGAUACAUAGCCGACCUGAGAGGGUGAUCGGCCACACUGGGACUGAGACACGGCCCAGACUCCUACGAGAGGCAGCAGUAGGGAAUCUUCGGCAAUGGGGGCAACCCUGACCGAGCAACGCCGCGUGAGUGAAGAAGGUUUUCGGAUCGUAAAGCUCUGUUGUAAGAGAAGAACGAGUGUGAGAGUGGAAAGUUCACACUGUGACGGUAACUUACCAGAAAGGGACGGCUAACUACGUG